RNAcentral lists this ribosomal RNA (460 nucleotides) under uncultured bacterium. RNAcentral describes it as "partial 16S ribosomal RNA". It matches the Rfam family "Bacterial small subunit ribosomal RNA", at positions 338 to 795 of the family's 1533-position model. The record is from RNAcentral.
CCUACGGGUGGCAGCAGUGAGGAAUAUUGGUCAAUGGGCGCGAGCCUGAACCAGCCAAGUAGCGUGAAGGAUGACUGCCCUACGGGUUGUAAACUUCGUUUAUAAAGGAAUAAAGUGAGGCACGUGUGCCUCUUUGUAUGUACUUUAUGACUACGUAUCGGCUAACACCGUGCCAGCAGCCGCGGUAAUACGGAGGAUCCGAGCUUUAUCCGGAGUUAUUGGGUUUAAAGGGAGCGUAGAUGGGUUGUUAAGUCAGUUGGGAAAGUUUGCGGCUCAACCGUAAAAUUGCAAUUGAUACUGGCAGUCUUGAGUACAGUUGAGGUAGGCGGAACUCGUGGUGUAGCGGUGAAAUGCUUAGAUAUCACGAAGAACUCCGAUUGCGAAGGCAGGUUACUAAACUGCCACUGACAUUGAUGCUCGAAAGUGUGGGUAUCAAACAGGAUUAGAUACCCGAGUAGUC